Molecule: ribosomal RNA, 253 nt
Filed under: uncultured bacterium
Lineage: Bacteria
Description: partial 16S ribosomal RNA
Rfam family: Bacterial small subunit ribosomal RNA
Source: RNAcentral
UAUGGGGGGGGCAAGCGUUGUUCGGAAUUACUGGGCGUAAAGGGCUCGUAGGCGGCCAACUAAGUCAGACGUGAAAUCCCUCGGCUUAACCGGGGAACUGCGUCUGAUACUGGAUGGCUUGAGUUUGGGAGAGGGAUGCGGAAUUCCAGGUGUAGCGGUGAAAUGCGUAGAUAUCUGGAGGAACACCGGUGGCGAAGGCGGCAUUCUGGACUAACACUGACGCUGAGGAGCGAAAGCCAGGGGAGCAAACGGG